UUUCCGUAGGUGAACCUGCGGAAGGAUCGUUAUCGUACAAAAUGUGAGGGGCAUCCGAGGGCUGUCGCUGACCCAAGAGUCGUGCACGCCCGAGUGUGUCCUCUUGCAUAAUAAUCCGUCUCACCCUUUGUGCAUCACCGCGUGGGCACCCUUCGGGAUCAUCUCGGAGCGGGGCUCACGUUUUCACACAAACCCCCCUUUUAAAAGUGUAGAAUGACCACAUUUAUGCAAUCAAUACAACUUUCAACAACGGAUCUCUUGGCUCUC
This 267-nucleotide unclassified non-coding RNA is filed under the name plant metagenome. RNAcentral describes it as "partial contains small subunit ribosomal RNA, internal transcribed spacer 1, and 5.8S ribosomal RNA". The record is from RNAcentral.